RNAcentral lists this small RNA (61 nucleotides) under Arabidopsis thaliana (thale cress). RNAcentral describes it as "ATSL173840". The record is from RNAcentral. Lineage: Eukaryota; Viridiplantae; Streptophyta; Magnoliopsida; Brassicales; Brassicaceae.
UGUAAAAGUAACUAGAUUUUAUCCCGCGGUAUACAAUUUAUCUUUUUAAAGUUAGUAUAAU